GACGAACGCUGGCGGCGUGCUUAACACAUGCAAGUCGAACGGAAAGGCCCUGCUUUUGUGGGGUGCUCGAGUGGCGAACGGGUGAGUAACACGUGAGUAACCUGCCCUUGACUUUGGGAUAACUUCAGGAAACUGGGGCUAAUACCGGAUAGGAGCUCCUGCUGCAUGGUGGGGGUUGGAAAGUUUCGGCGGUUGGGGAUGGACUCGCGGCUUAUCAGCUUGUUGGUGGGGUAGUGGCUUACCAAGGCUUUGACGGGUAGCCGGCCUGAGAGGGUGACCGGCCACAUUGGGACUGAGAUACGGCCCAGACUCCUACGGGAGGCAGCAGUGGGGAAUAUUGCACAAUGGGCGGAAGCCUGAUGCAGCAACGCCGCGUGCGGUAUGACGACCUUCGGGUUGUAAACCGCUUUCGCCUGUGACGAAGCGUGAGUGACGGUAAUGGGUAAAGAAGCACCGGCUAACUACGUG
Molecule: ribosomal RNA, 468 nt
Filed under: uncultured bacterium
Lineage: Bacteria
Description: partial 16S ribosomal RNA
Rfam family: Bacterial small subunit ribosomal RNA
Source: RNAcentral